MicroRNA precursor from Leersia perrieri, 117 nucleotides. The record is from Rfam. NCBI's taxonomy places the organism in Eukaryota, Viridiplantae, Streptophyta, Magnoliopsida, Poales, Poaceae.
AGAACAAGACGUAGCCAAGGACAACUUGCUGGAAAAUGGCAGCAUGGAUCAAAAUAUUGCCUCUUGAAACAUGCAUACACGUACCGGCAAGUCAUCCUUGGCUGCAUUCCAUUCUCU